Molecule: ribosomal RNA, 483 nt
Filed under: uncultured Propionibacterium sp.
Lineage: Bacteria; Bacillati; Actinomycetota; Actinomycetes; Propionibacteriales; Propionibacteriaceae
Description: bacterial SSU rRNA
Rfam family: Bacterial small subunit ribosomal RNA
Source: RNAcentral
AGCAGUGGGGAAUAUUGCACAAUGGGCGGAAGCCUGAUGCAGCAACGCCGCGUGCGGGAUGACGGCCUUCGGGUUGUAAACCGCUUUCGCCUGUGACGAAGCGUGAGUGACGGUAAUGGGUAAAGAAGCACCGGCUAACUACGUGCCAGCAGCCGCGGUGAUACGUAGGGUGCGAGCGUUGUCCGGAUUUAUUGGGCGUAAAGGGCUCGUAGGUGGUUGAUCGCGUCGGAAGUGUAAUCUUGGGGCUUAACCCUGAGCGUGCUUUCGAUACGGGUUGACUUGAGGAAGGUAGGGGAGAAUGGAAUUCCUGGUGGAGCGGUGGAAUGCGCAGAUAUCAGGAGGAACACCAGUGGCGAAGGCGGUUCUCUGGGCCUUUCCUGACGCUGAGGAGCGAAAGCGUGGGGAGCGAACAGGCUUAGAUACCCUGGUAGUCCACGCUGUAAACGGUGGGUACUAGGUGUGGGGUCCAUUCCACGGGUUCCG